GCCCGGGUGGUGGAAUUGGUAGACGCAGCGGACUCAAAAUCCGCCGCCGCAAGGCGUGCCGGUUCGAUUCCGGCCCCGGGCA
RNAcentral lists this transfer RNA (82 nucleotides) under Comamonas terrigena. It matches the Rfam family "tRNA". Rfam says of the family: Transfer RNA (tRNA) molecules are approximately 80 nucleotides in length. Their secondary structure includes four short double-helical elements and three loops (D, anti-codon, and T loops). Further hydrogen bonds mediate the characteristic L-shaped molecular structure. tRNAs have two regions of fundamental functional importance: the anti-codon, which is responsible for specific mRNA codon recognition, and the 3' end, to which the tRNAs corresponding amino acid is attached (by aminoacyl-tRNA synthetases). tRNAs cope with the degeneracy of the genetic code in two manners: having more than one tRNA (with a specific anti-codon) for a particular amino acid; and 'wobble' base-pairing, i.e. permitting non-standard base-pairing at the 3rd anti-codon position. RNAcentral also lists the same sequence under 1 other name. Lineage: Bacteria; Pseudomonadati; Pseudomonadota; Betaproteobacteria; Burkholderiales; Comamonadaceae. The record is from Rfam by way of RNAcentral.